UUGUCUUCUAAAUGACUAGAAUGUAAAAUGAUUAUCAGGAGGAUUGUAUUACCAUGCUUAAGUGUGUUCGUUUGCUCUAUCAAUAUUCUUAAUUUUAUAUAACAUCCAAAAACAAAACCUACAGACUUUCUUUACAGAAAUCAAUGCGAACACCAUCUGUUGUUUUGUGUCGUGGCGUCCACGUUUCCACACAGACCUAAAAGUAGACCAAUGCGUCCUGUUGUUUGUAGCAACGUGGGGCAUGAAUAUGUACUAAUAUUCAGAAUUUACAAAUCUUGUACAUUGGUGUUAUGAGUGGAAAGUGUCUUUGACAGCCUCGACAAUGCAGAUAUCCAGUGUGAAGAUGUAUAACUUAAGCCACGGAAAGUCUCUUCCAGAGUGCCUCUCAGAUCGGGAAGAAAUUGGCAUUGCAAAAUAAAGAUGUUGGCACAUACAAGCCCAGAAUCCGAUGCUAUGACGCGUAUCAGUUGUCCUUGAAGUUUGAACGCUGUCUGGAUUCAGACGUAGUGGCCUUUGAUAUUCUGUCCAACAACUACACGAAGGUAAGACAGAUUUCCUUGGUUGUUUCCUGCAGCGGGGGUUACCUAAACGUGUAUUUUUUCAAUAAAUAAAUGUGACCUGAUAUUGUGUGUGUGUGUAGCUGGUGUUUCUCCACUGUAACUUGUACGUGGAGUUCCACUUGCAGCAUGGACACUACUACAGACGCGUAUUCCCAAGUUUGGUAGGGACUUUGCUUACCACUACCCCUCCUGCGACCUAUACUUUGUUUGGGGCAAGGUAAGUGUUAAAAGCCUAAAGAAGCUGGAUCAUUCACUGUCUUGAUAUCCUACAGUGCCUUGCGAAAGUAUUCGGCCCCCUUGAACUUUGCGACCUUUUGCCACAUU
Long non-coding RNA from Oncorhynchus kisutch (coho salmon), 884 nucleotides. RefSeq lists it as uncharacterized. Lineage: Eukaryota; Metazoa; Chordata; Actinopteri; Salmoniformes; Salmonidae. The record is from RefSeq and is a predicted model, not a curated record. The transcript is spliced from 4 exons.